UACAGGGGGUGCAAACGUUGCUCGGAAUCAUUGGGCGUAAAGCGCACGUAGGCGGUUCGUUAUGUCGGAUGUGAAAGCCCUUGGCUUAACCGAGGAAGUGCAUCCGAAACUGGCGAGCUAGAGUACUAAAGAGGAUCGCGGAAUUCCCGGUGUAGAGGUGAAAUUCGUAGAUAUUCGGAAGAACACCAGUGGCGAAGGCGACUCGCUGGACAAGUAUUGACGCUGAGGUGCGAAAGCGUGGGGAGCAAACAGG
RNAcentral lists this ribosomal RNA (253 nucleotides) under uncultured bacterium. RNAcentral describes it as "partial 16S ribosomal RNA". It matches the Rfam family "Bacterial small subunit ribosomal RNA", at positions 524 to 776 of the family's 1533-position model. The record is from RNAcentral.